CGGAAAUUCCGGCCCUUGCGGCUCUCCGAAGCUCCUCUGAGGCGAUGGGCUUGCUUUCUGGGUCCCAGAAGCUUGGUUAGGAGUUGGCACAGGCGCCCCGGCCUCGGCUGACCCCGGCCCCGGCUGACCCCGGCCCCGGCUGACCCCGGCCCCUGAGACGUGGGUGGAUUGCUGGCAGGGAUCCGACGUGCAGAUGGCAGCCACCCCCCCUGGAGUGGAAUCAACUUGGAGUACGUCUCAAGGGCAUAGAAAUCAAGUAGGAAGUAUAGGGAUACCAUUCUUUCUCUUGGAUUUCUUCUGGGGAACUCAGUGUCAAAUAUGCAUGGUGUGCCUACCCCCUAGAGCCAAAGUAGAAUACAGAGGGAAGUAUUGAUUGUGAUGCUAUUUCACAACUAGACUCAUACUGCAAGAAAGAGAAAAUGGUCAAAAUUGCCUUAUGUUCAGACUUUCUUUGCACUGAGAAUUAAUCCUU
RNAcentral lists this long non-coding RNA (472 nucleotides) under Heterocephalus glaber (naked mole-rat). Its description in RNAcentral is "lncRNA (ENSHGLG00100049821.1)". Lineage: Eukaryota; Metazoa; Chordata; Mammalia; Rodentia; Bathyergidae. The record is from RNAcentral.